CGAAACGCGAUGAGAAAGAAAGUAAAGUGAACAGGUCAUGCUAAGAGAGUCCCAGUUGGUGAGAAGGGAUGAUGAUUGUUGAUUUGAAAAUGGCUUUUGAGCGGAUUUCCUGAAUAAUGAAGGAAAUACGGAUGCCCCGUUAACAGGCAGCAGUCUCCGACUUUCGGGUACUGGCAGAGGUAAGGUUCGCGAGGAUCUUACGAACAAAGGUGGUCACGCAUUCUUAAUGCCCUUAGC
Molecule: non-coding RNA, 237 nt
Filed under: Enterococcus canis
Lineage: Bacteria; Bacillati; Bacillota; Bacilli; Lactobacillales; Enterococcaceae
Description: T-box sequence
Rfam family: T-box leader
About the family: Uncharged tRNA acts as the effector for transcription antitermination of genes in the T-box leader family. T-boxes are found upstream of many aminoacyl-tRNA synthetase genes and some amino acid biosynthetic genes usually in Gram-positive bacteria.
Source: RNAcentral